UGUAAAGCUCUUUCACCCACGACGAUAAUGACGGUAGUGGGAGAAGAAGCCCCGGCUAACUUCGUGCCAGCAGCCGCGGUAAUACGAAGGGGGCUAGCGUUGUUCGGAUUUACUGGGCGUAAAGCGUACGUAGGCGGACCGUUAAGUCGGAGGUGAAAUCCUGGGGCUCAACCCCAGAACUGCCUUCGAUACUGGCGGUCUCGAGUCCGGGAGAGGUGAGUGGAACUGCCAGUGUAGAGGUGAAAUUCGUAGAUAUAGGCAAGAACACCAGUGGCGAAGGCGGCUCACUGGCCCGGUACUGACGCUGAGGUACGAAAGCGUGGGGAGCAAACAGGAUUAGAUACCCUGGUAGUCCACGCUGUAAACGAUGGAAGCCAGCCGUCGGGCA
This 388-nucleotide ribosomal RNA is filed under the name uncultured bacterium. RNAcentral describes it as "bacterial SSU rRNA". It matches the Rfam family "Bacterial small subunit ribosomal RNA", at positions 424 to 829 of the family's 1533-position model. The record is from RNAcentral.